AACGAACGCUGGCGGCAUGCCUAACACAUGCAAGUCGAACGAGACCUUCGGGUCUAUUGGCGCACGGGUGCGUAACGCGUGGGAACCUGCCCUUAGGUUCGGAAUAACUCCCCGAAAGGGGUGCUAAUACCGGAUAAUUUCUUCGGACCAAAGAUUUAUCGCCUUUGGAUGGGCCCGCGUUGGAUUAGCUAGUUGGUAGGGUAAAAGCCUACCAAGGCGACGAUCCAUAGCUGUUCUGAGAGGAUGAUCAGCCACACUGGGACUGAGACACGGCCCAGACUCCUACGGGAGGCAGCAGUGGGGAAUAUUGGACAAUGGGCGGAAGCAUGAUCCAGCAAUGCCGCGUGAGUGAUGAAGGCCUUAGGGUUGUAAAGCUCUUUUAUCCGGGAUGAUAAUGACAGUACCGGGAGAAUAAGCUCCGGCUAACUCCGUG
RNAcentral lists this ribosomal RNA (433 nucleotides) under uncultured bacterium. RNAcentral describes it as "partial 16S ribosomal RNA". It matches the Rfam family "Bacterial small subunit ribosomal RNA", at positions 29 to 507 of the family's 1533-position model. The record is from RNAcentral.